This 395-nucleotide ribosomal RNA is filed under the name uncultured bacterium. RNAcentral describes it as "bacterial SSU rRNA". It matches the Rfam family "Bacterial small subunit ribosomal RNA", at positions 957 to 1353 of the family's 1533-position model. The record is from RNAcentral.
UAACGCGAAGAACCUUACCAGGUCUUGACAUACUAUGCAAAUCUAAGAGAUUAGACGUUCCCUUCGGGGACAUGGAUACAGGUGGUGCAUGGUUGUCGUCAGCUCGUGUCGUGAGAUGUUGGGUUAAGUCCCACAACGAGCGCAACCCUUAUUAUCAGUUACCAGCAUUAAGUUGGGCACUCUGGUGAGACUGCCGGUGACAAACCGGAGGAAGGUGGGGAUGACGUCAAAUCAUCAUGCCCCUUAUGACCUGGGCUACACACGUGCUACAAUGGAUGGUACAACGAGUUGCGAACUCGCGAGAGUAAGCUAAUCUCUUAAAGCCAUUCUCAGUUCGGAUUGUAGGCUGCAACUCGCCUACAUGAAGUCGGAAUCGCUAGUAAUCGUGGAUCAGA